UCCUACGGGGGGCAGCAGUGAGGAAUAUUGGUCAAUGGGCGGGAGCCUGAACCAGCCAAGUCGCGUGAGGGAAGACGGUCCUAUGGAUUGUAAACCUCUUUAGGCGGGGAGCAAUGCCGGGCACGCGUGUCCGGAGGGAGAGUACCCGCAGAAUAAGCAUCGGCUAACUCCGUGCCAGCAGCCGCGGUAAUACGGAGGAUGCGAGCGUUAUCCGGAUUUAUUGGGUUUAAAGGGUGCGUAGGCGGGCUGCCAAGUCAGCGGUAAAAUUGCGGGGCUCAACCCCGUCGAGCCGUUGAAACUGGCGG
RNAcentral lists this ribosomal RNA (305 nucleotides) under uncultured bacterium. RNAcentral describes it as "bacterial SSU rRNA". It matches the Rfam family "Bacterial small subunit ribosomal RNA", at positions 337 to 639 of the family's 1533-position model. The record is from RNAcentral.